UGUGUAUAAGAGACAGGCUGAAAGCAUCUAAGCAUGAAGCCCCCCUCAAGAUGAGAUUUCCCAUUCCGCAAGGAAGUAAGAUCCCUGAAAGAU
This 93-nucleotide ribosomal RNA is filed under the name Bacillus pumilus. RNAcentral describes it as "partial 23S ribosomal RNA". Lineage: Bacteria; Bacillati; Bacillota; Bacilli; Caryophanales; Bacillaceae. The record is from RNAcentral.